CAUUCCACUGUGCCCCAACCAUGCUGAACAGAAGCAGCUGGCGGUCUGAAUCCCUGCAGAAAUGGUGUCAGAAGGACUGAGCCCCACCCGACAUCAAUGAGAAUGCAUAAGUGCUACAGGCUGGAACUAGGAAACACCCCACUUCCCCCACAUAACUCCUUUGAAAGAGUGGCUGAAGUUUUCAACUCAAGAUGGUCACCCUGCUUAUCACACAGAACCAGAUGCUUCAGCACCUUGGAGAGCUCCACAAGACCCACAGACCCGGGCCCCCCAACCACAAGAAAUAUAAUAAAAUACUGCUUUGAGACUCAAUUUCAGCACUUAGCUACAUAAAUAAAAGUUCCAGGAAGACUAAAUCUUAGAACCAACAGGGAGAUGAGCACUUCCAGAGUUUCAUCAGCUUCCAAAUGAUAUUUAAAUAUGAGAACGUGAGGCCUGGCUGGGCCUGUGGUGAAAUCUCCAUAACAGCAUCCUUGUAAUAAAUGCUGAAAUUCAUGCAA
Long non-coding RNA from Homo sapiens (human), 500 nucleotides. RefSeq lists it as uncharacterized. The record is from RefSeq and is a predicted model, not a curated record. NCBI's taxonomy places the organism in Eukaryota, Metazoa, Chordata, Mammalia, Primates, Hominidae. The transcript is spliced from 3 exons.